UACGGAGGGUGCAAGCGUUAUCCGGAUUUACUGGGUUUAAAGGGUGCGUAGGCGGCGCGGUAAGUCGGGUGUGAAAUCUCGGGGCUUAACUCCGAAACUGCAUUCGAUACUGCCGUGCUUGAGGACUGGAGAGGAGACUGGAAUUUACGGUGUAGCGGUGAAAUGCGUAGAUAUCGUAAGGAAGACCAGUGGCGAAGGCGGGUCUCUGGACAGUUCCUGACGCUGAGGCACGAAGGCCAGGGGAGCAAACGGG
This 253-nucleotide ribosomal RNA is filed under the name uncultured bacterium. Its description in RNAcentral is "partial 16S ribosomal RNA". It matches the Rfam family "Bacterial small subunit ribosomal RNA", at positions 524 to 776 of the family's 1533-position model. The record is from RNAcentral.